This 208-nucleotide long non-coding RNA is filed under the name Elaeis guineensis (African oil palm). Its description in RNAcentral is "long non-coding RNA (EGUI_LNC064436)". Lineage: Eukaryota; Viridiplantae; Streptophyta; Magnoliopsida; Arecales; Arecaceae. The record is from RNAcentral.
AGAUCAAUGAAAUCAAAUUCUCUAAAUUAUUAAGUCCAUAAAGUGAUAAAGUUAUGAGAUAACUUGAUCAUUGCCCUCCAUUAAUGUGUGUGAUAAUGAGUCGAAUAUUUCAAAUAGGCAUUGGAGGCGCCACACGCUUGAUGUCUAUUACGUAUUGAAAUUAUAAUUCAUCAUAUGACCAUCAUGAUGUACCUUCAGAUCAAUACUC